Protopterus annectens (West African lungfish) is the source of this 560-nucleotide long non-coding RNA. RefSeq lists it as uncharacterized. The record is from RefSeq and is a predicted model, not a curated record. The transcript is spliced from 2 exons. Lineage: Eukaryota; Metazoa; Chordata; Ceratodontiformes; Protopteridae.
UCAACCUGUUUUGGGAGCUAUGUUUACAGGGGAUCUACAUUUGAGCAGCUGCGGGUCUCCCCAUGUAGCAAUGUCCACUUUGAAAAUGUUUUUUAGUGAAUAUUCAAAAUAUAUUUUUCACUAAUUGACGAAUGGUGUUGUUUUAAGACUUUUUAAUGAAAUGCCCUACUUUUUUUAAUGACAUUGUAUGUUCCAGCUUAUUUUACCUUCUGUGUGCUUUGCAUUGACAACAGUGUCUGGGGAAAGCUGCAGUAUAUACUGUGUUAACAUGCUGCCAGACUGCUACACAGGAACAAAAAAAGACGAAUGGCUUGACGCAUUGUUUUCAUUCUUUUGGAACGUCUACUUUCAGCCAACAUUUCAUAGUAAAACCACACUAGCCUACCAGUUUGUGAAAUUGCACAUUGUUUCCUUCUGGUGUUUGUCAUAUAAUCUGUGGAAUCCUGUAGGCUGCUGUGUGCGGUGGGAUAGUAACAUCCAAGACUUUCAUGAUCUUGAGAAACAAAGUAUUUAGCUAGAUCAGUGAUUCGAGCAGUAGAGUAAAAAAAAAAAAAACAAAA